CAGACCUUUAGCUUGACAGGGAGGUGGGGACCAUGCAGAUGUGUCCUGGAGAUGAAAUGAAAUAUCAUAGUAUCACAGCUCUAUCAAUGGCCUCAAACAGGAGCUUGCGGAUUCCAUCAUGUACUCCGUCAGAGGACACCCUUUAAUGGCAGAAUGAAAGCGAGGAGUGCAUCUCUCCUGCCGAUUAUCUCCAUCUCUCCAACUGUGCCAAAGUCACUGUGUAGAUUUGUGUUCUUUUGUGAGAUUAACAAAACAUUGUUUAACGUAAUCACAUGCAGCUCAAAGUGGUCAUUGGGCCUGUGAAUAUACAUAGAAAUAAUUUUAAAUAUUUAUAUUUUUGUAUUUAAUUUCUGAAAUGUAUUUAAAUUAAAGCUGUAUGAUAUCUGUAUGAUUUCCUUUCUUCCACAGACCAUAAAAUGAGAUGUGUAGCAAGACUUUCAAGCUGUCUUUAUACUAUGAAAGUGAACAGUAAGC
Cyprinus carpio carpio is the source of this 474-nucleotide long non-coding RNA. The record is from Ensembl. Lineage: Eukaryota; Metazoa; Chordata; Actinopteri; Cypriniformes; Cyprinidae.